UACGUAGGGGGCAAGCGUUGUCAGGAAUCAUUGGGCGUAAAGAGCGUGUAGGCGGCCAGAUAAGUCCGCUGUGAAAUCUCGAGGCUCAACUUCGAGCUGUCGGUGGAAACUGUCUGGCUAGAGUCCGGAAGAGGAGAAUGGAAUUCCUGGUGUAGCGGUGAAAUGCGCAGAUAUCAGGAAGAACACCCGUGGCGAAGGCGGUUCUCUGGGACGGUACUGACGCUGAGACGCGAAAGCGUGGGGAGCGAACAGG
Molecule: ribosomal RNA, 253 nt
Filed under: uncultured bacterium
Lineage: Bacteria
Description: partial 16S ribosomal RNA
Rfam family: Bacterial small subunit ribosomal RNA
Source: RNAcentral